This 406-nucleotide ribosomal RNA is filed under the name uncultured bacterium. RNAcentral's name for it is "partial 16S ribosomal RNA". It matches the Rfam family "Bacterial small subunit ribosomal RNA", at positions 29 to 526 of the family's 1533-position model. The record is from RNAcentral.
AUUGAACGCUGGCGGCAGGCCUAACACAUGCAAGUCGAACGAGUGGCGGACGGGUGAGUAAUGUCUGGGAAACUGCCUGAUGGAGGGGGAUAACUACUGGAAACGGUAGCUAAUACCGCAUACCAUCGGAUGUGCCCAGAUGGGAUUAGCUAGUAGGUGGGGUAACGGCGCACCUAGGGGACGAUCCCUAGCUGGUCGGAGAGGAUGACCGGCCACACUGGACCUGAGACACGGUCCAGACGCCGACGGGAGGGAGCAGUGGGGAAUAUUGCCCAAUGGGCGCAAGCCUGAUGCAGCCAUGCCGCGUGUAUGAAGGAGGCCUUCGGGUUGUAAAGUACUGUCAGCGGGGAGGCGUUACCCGCAGAAGAAGCACCGGCUAACUCCGUGCCAGCAGCCGCGGUAAUAC